RNAcentral lists this ribosomal RNA (414 nucleotides) under uncultured crenarchaeote. RNAcentral's name for it is "partial 16S ribosomal RNA". It matches the Rfam family "Archaeal small subunit ribosomal RNA", at positions 330 to 747 of the family's 1478-position model. Lineage: Archaea; Thermoproteati; Thermoproteota. The record is from RNAcentral.
GUGCAGCAGUCGCGAAAACUCCGCAAUACACGAAAGUGUGACGGGGCUAUCCCGAGUGCCGUCCGCUGAGGAUGGCUUUUCCCCAGUGUAGACAGCUGGGUGAAUAAGGAGAGGGCAAGUCUGGUGUCAGCCGCCGCGGUAAUACCAGCUCUUCGAGUGGUUGGGACGAUUAUUGGGUCUGAAGCGUCCGUAGCCGGCCGGAAAAGUUCCCCGUUAAAUCUGGCGAUCCAAUCGUUGGGCUGCGGGGAAUACUCUUCGGCUUGGGGGCGAGGGAGGUCGGCGGUAGUCCCGGGGUAGGGGCGAAAUCCUAUAAUCCCGGGAAGACCACCAGUGGCGUAGGCGGUCGGCUAGCACGCGCUCGACAGUGAGGGACGAAAGCUGGGGUAGCGAACCGGAUUAGAUACCCGGGAGUCC